This 256-nucleotide ribosomal RNA is filed under the name uncultured bacterium. RNAcentral's name for it is "partial 16S ribosomal RNA". It matches the Rfam family "Bacterial small subunit ribosomal RNA", at positions 524 to 776 of the family's 1533-position model. The record is from RNAcentral.
UACAGAGGUCUCAAGCGUUGUUCGGAUUCAUUGGGCGUAAAGGGUGCGUAGGUGGCGCCAUAAGUCAGGUGUGAAAUCCCGGGGCUCAACCCCGGAACUGCCCUUGAAACUGGAGAGCUAGAAUCUUGGAGAGGCGAGUGGAAUUCCGAGUGUAGAGGUGAAAAUUCGUAGAUAUUCGGGAAGAACACCAGUGGCGAAGGCGGCUCACUGGACUGGUAUUGACGCUGAGGUGCGAAAAGCGUGGGGAGCAAACAGG